CUAACAUGGUGGUUGAAGUAUUAGGUGUUGAACUUUCUUAGUGGCGAACGGGUGAGUAACGCGUGGGCAACCUGCCCUCUAGAUGGGGACAACAUCCCGAAAGGGGUGCUAAUACCGAAUGUGACAGCAAUCUCGCAUGAGGAUGCUGUGAAAGAUGGCCUCUAUUUAUAAGCUAUCGCUAGAGGAUGGGCCUGCGUCUGAUUAGCUAGUUGGUGGGGUAACGGCCUACCAAGGCGAUGAUCAGUAGCCGGUCUGAGAGGAUGAACGGCCACAUUGGGACUGAGACACGGCCCAGACUCCUACGGGAGGCAGCAGUGGGGAAUCUUCCGCAAUGGGCGAAAGCCUGACGGAGCAAUGCCGCGUGAGUGAUGAAGGAAUUCGUUCCGUAAAGCUCUUUUGUUUAUGACGAAUGUGCAGGUUGUGAAUAAUGAUCUGUAAUGACGGUAGUAAACGAAUAAGCCACGGCUAACUACGUGCCAGCAGCCGCGGUAAUACGUAGGUGGCGAGCGUUGUCCGGAAUUAUUGGGCGUAAAGAGCAUGUAGGCGGUUUUUUAAGUCUGGAGUGAAAAUGCGGGGCUCAACCCCGUAUGGCUCUGGAUACUGGAAGACUUGAGUGCAGGAGAGGAAAGGGGAAUUCCCAGUGUAGCGGUGAAAUGCGUAGAUAUUGGGAGGAACACCAGUGGCGAAGGCGCCUUUCUGGACUGUGUCUGACGCUGAGAUGCGAAAGCCAGGGUAGCGAACGGGAUUAGAUACCCCGGUAGUCCUGGCCGUAAACGAUGGGUACUAGGUGUAGGAGGUAUCGACCCCUUCUGUGCCGGAGUUAACGCAAUAAGUACCCCGCCUGGGGAGUACGUCCGCAAGGAUGAAACUCAAAGGAAUUGACGGGGGCCCGCACAAGCGGUGGAGGAUGUGGUUUAAUUCGACGCAACGCGAAGAACCUUACCAAGGCUUGACAUUGAAUGACCGCUCCAGAGAUGGAGCUUUCCCUUCGGGGACAUGAAAACAGGU
This 1008-nucleotide ribosomal RNA is filed under the name human gut metagenome. RNAcentral's name for it is "bacterial SSU rRNA". It matches the Rfam family "Bacterial small subunit ribosomal RNA", at positions 63 to 1039 of the family's 1533-position model. The record is from RNAcentral.